Molecule: long non-coding RNA, 612 nt
Organism: Ornithorhynchus anatinus (platypus)
Lineage: Eukaryota; Metazoa; Chordata; Mammalia; Monotremata; Ornithorhynchidae
Exons: 3
Source: RefSeq, a predicted model, not a curated record
GAGAUUUAUUUGGAAAGUCAGAGGGUGGAUGGGAGGCUGCCUUGCUGUAUCCAGAAAGAGUUGGUGGUGUGACCCACAUAGAUCUCUUUGAAUUAUUCCAGAAUCUGAACAGUCAAGCAAAAGUUAAUUAAAUUACACUUUAGCUAACAAAAGGGUCAGAGUCUUUGAAUGCCUCUUGAUGCCUAACCUUUUACAGCAGCUCCUGACCAGCCAGAGUGAUAACAAUCUCAUCAGUGCUUGUAAAUGAGGAGUCCCAGCUUCGUGAACCGCGGAUUCCAACUGAUGGAAAGAGAGUUAAAGGACAGAGCAGGAAGAUAUAGCUGCCUGGCCCAGAGGCAGUAAAUGGACCCGACGACCUCCGUGGCGGCUGAAGGGAGCCGUGAUCCCACACACUACCUUCUGCUUGCCACCGUUCUGCCCUCCUUCACUGGCUAGGCCUGUUUCAGAUCCUCUCCACCCACCUGGGAUUGGUAAAAAUGGCAGGAUUGUUUCGAGAUGAAGGCGUGUGCCCUUUGGAUCCCCCAUUGUGGACGAAUAACUCUUGGAGAAGCAGCAGGGGCUACUGGAAAGAACAUGGGCCUGGUUGUCAGAGGACCUGGGUUCUAAUCCCAG